RNAcentral lists this transfer RNA (72 nucleotides) under Camelus bactrianus (Bactrian camel). It matches the Rfam family "tRNA". From Rfam's summary of the family: Transfer RNA (tRNA) molecules are approximately 80 nucleotides in length. Their secondary structure includes four short double-helical elements and three loops (D, anti-codon, and T loops). Further hydrogen bonds mediate the characteristic L-shaped molecular structure. tRNAs have two regions of fundamental functional importance: the anti-codon, which is responsible for specific mRNA codon recognition, and the 3' end, to which the tRNAs corresponding amino acid is attached (by aminoacyl-tRNA synthetases). tRNAs cope with the degeneracy of the genetic code in two manners: having more than one tRNA (with a specific anti-codon) for a particular amino acid; and 'wobble' base-pairing, i.e. permitting non-standard base-pairing at the 3rd anti-codon position. RNAcentral also lists the same sequence under 2 other names. The record is from Rfam by way of RNAcentral. Lineage: Eukaryota; Metazoa; Chordata; Mammalia; Artiodactyla; Camelidae.
GAGGGGAUAGCUCAGUGGUAGAGCACAUGCCUAGCAUGCACAAGGUCCUGGGUUCAAUCCCCAGUACCUCCA